UUAGAUGUAGAGUAGCUCAGUCAGAACUGCUGCUCAGAGUACAAGGGGCCUUGCAAGUCAAUGGCAGGACUUUGGAUUAUACCUGGAAAGGUGAAAACAAGAGGAGUUGUCUUUUGAGCAGAGCACAGAGAUGAUCCAAUUUAAGAACUAACCAGGCAGCUAUAGAUUUUCUAUGGAGAUGAGAUGGUGGGCAUCAUGGCCCAUGCCCACUGCUGCUGGGCAAUGUGAGUGGAACACGAGAGCCAUGUGGCCAGGUCUCUAUCAGCUGAGAGCUUUUGAUGUGUUUGGGAGAUGAGACAAGGUAGGGUGGAGGAGUGCAUAGGAGCCAGGACUUUCAAUACAGAAGGGUCCAGAUUGAGUCUUCCUGCUGCCACCCCCUAGCCUAGAAAGUUACUUAAAGUCUCUGUUGCCUCAUCGUUAAGUGGUAAUAAGUGGUAUUAGCAAUGUCUGCCUGAUAGGUUUCUGUGGGGGCUGACUCAGCCCAGAGUGCCUGGCACAGAGUGGGCCUGAAAGAGAUAGCAGCUGGUGUUAUUAUUCAGUAAUAAUGUGAGGUAACACCGUGCUCCUCACUGGGGUGUGGGGGUGGCAGUGGCGGUGGUGUUGGGGACAGAAAUCUUCGAGCAGAAGGUAGAUGAGAAGAGGGAGAAGGCAUGGAGGAUGGGAGCUGGCCGGAAUAAGCACAGUGUGUUCUCACAAAGGAACAUGAGGGUCUGGCUGGGAGGAGAAAACGGCCCCCACUGGAGUCUGUGCAGCCUCUUUGGCUCUAGAUACAAUUUCAGCAAGAAGAUGCUGGACAGUUUCUAUGAUUAGAAGAGGCACUUAAGAAGAGGAAAGGGUUUCUCCAGAGAGGUUCCUGGUCAUCUGAGGGUUUGGAGGGUCCCAGUAGGAUUUAUAGGGAGGAAAUUGUGAUGGGUAGAAAGUCCUGGGCUCACUCUUUGAUUUUCCUACCCCAGGGUCAAUCACUGUUGAAAGGAGAGAUCUUAGCUGUAGACCUUUGGGAGAGAGAGAUUGAUUCUGGGGUCAGGAUUGUAGCUUAGUGGUCUACUACUUGCCUAGCAUGUGUAAGGCCCUCGGUUCAAUCUCCAGCACUGCAAAUUAAUUAAUUAAUUAAUUAAUUAGAUGGUUUCUUUUCUGUCCUCUGUGUGGAUUUCAUUCUCUCAGGCUUUCUGGCAGCUCUCAAGUUGUCGUCAACCCAGCUUCCCAACCAGAAAGAAAAUAGAGCUUCUCUCUCUUGGAUCCAGCAUGAAAGUUCCCAGAAAAAGAUUUUGCAUUGGCCCAGCCUGAGGGGUGCCCUAUGUCCUAGGGGUCCACUAGGCCCAUCAUAGUGGUCCUGGAAACAGGAUGACCCAUCAUGAGGUGAGUAGGCUUCCUCUACUACGAUGUGCUGCCUCAUCACAGGCCAGAAGCAAUGGGGCCAACUGACCAUGAAGUGAAACCUACAAAAUGUCACUUCCAGCGACCAUUUUCCAAAAUCAAUCACCCUCCAGUAACAGGAGCCUUCCAUGUAGCCUGAGUCAGACCCACCCCAGAUGUUGUUUGCCAUCAGCUGGAAACUCCUUCAAAGUCUCACAUUUUACCUUAAAGUUUUGUGAUAAAUUUACCUUUAAUAAAUUACUUAUCUGCUUAAUUGCAUUCCACCCUAAAAGUCUUUUUAAAAGAUCCUUUGAGAAAAUAAGACAUUUUCAUUUUGUGGCUUUAUAUAUACCCCUGUGGCACACUGAAUAUUUCCCUCAGGAUAUGUGAACUUCAUUUGCAAAGCUUGUCCAUAAAGAGUGAUCAAAUUUAUUUGGUCCUUGACAAUAUCCAGAGGGAAGAGCUGCCAGUCAGCUACCAUACAUAGCCAUAGAAAAAUGCAAAAAAUGCUCCCUUAGAAUUAUCUAGCUCAGAGCAAUCCUCUGAUGACUCUGAGAAAAUUAACUCUAAAUGCACUCCUAAAUUACUAAAUUGGUUAAUAAAUUUAAGUCUUUCUGAGCAUGGUUAGAUACUAGGAUCCAAGGUCCCCUGGGUAGACUCCUGGGUCAUGUCAAACAGAAGAGGAGUCAUAUCUCCAUUUAAAGGGCUCCUCAGCUGCAUGAAAACAGUAGUUUUUCUUUCUCUGUGCUCUAAAAUGUAACAGAAACAGGGCCAGCAUUUCACAUGCAUUAUCUCUAAUCUACAUAAGCCUACGAGGUCGAUGUCAUUAUCCCCUUUAAACAAAGGAGAGAAUGGAAAGGUUACAUGAUUUCAAGAAGGGCACACAGCCAGAAGGUAGUGGGACCACCAUAAGGCUCAUACCUUUUUCUAAAACCAGACUACUUUAGACUUCUAUGGAUUAGAUUUAUAAUUUUAGUGACCAACAUGCCCCUUAGCCUGUCUUCAAAUGCCUGUGGUUUCAGCUGGGCUUUGGAGAAGAGUUGUAGGAUGAGUGGAUCAAGAUUCAGCUUUCAGGUGACUGUCCAGAGCUCAGAAAUUCUCCUCUACAUGAAGGAAGACCUCAUUUCUUUCUAGCUUUCAUCUUAUGCAACUUUUGGGGCAGCACUGGGUGAUACAGAAUAUCCUUUCUGCUACACAAA
Heterocephalus glaber (naked mole-rat) is the source of this 2552-nucleotide non-coding RNA. NCBI's taxonomy places the organism in Eukaryota, Metazoa, Chordata, Mammalia, Rodentia, Bathyergidae. The record is from RefSeq and is a predicted model, not a curated record.